RNAcentral lists this ribosomal RNA (318 nucleotides) under uncultured bacterium. RNAcentral describes it as "bacterial SSU rRNA". It matches the Rfam family "Bacterial small subunit ribosomal RNA", at positions 28 to 334 of the family's 1533-position model. The record is from RNAcentral.
GAUGAACGCUGGCGGCGUGCCUAAUACAUGCGAGUCGAGCGAACAGACGAGGAGCUUGCUCCUUUGACGUUAGCGGCGGACGGGUGAGUAACACGUAGGUAACCUACCUAUAAGACUGGGAUAACUUCGGGAAACCGGAGCUAAUACCGGAUAAAUAUUUCGAACCGCAUGGUUCGAUAGUGAAAGAUGGCUUUGCUAUCACUUAUAGAUGGACCUGCGCCGUAUUAGCUAGUUGGUAAGGUAACGGCUUACCAAGGCAACGAUACGUGGCCGACCUGAGAGGGUGGUCGGCCACACUGGAACUGAGACACGGUCCAG